This 714-nucleotide unclassified non-coding RNA is filed under the name Hevea brasiliensis (rubber tree). Lineage: Eukaryota; Viridiplantae; Streptophyta; Magnoliopsida; Malpighiales; Euphorbiaceae. The record is from RNAcentral.
UGUCUAUGUUGGAAUGCGGUAUUGGUACCCAUUCACUGAGGAGGCGAUUCAUCAGAUCAAGAGGGACAGGAUAACAAGGCUUGUUGUGCUGCCACUUUACCCACAAUUCUCCAUCUCCACAACUGGCUCAAGCCUCCGUGUUCUUCAGAAUAUAUUCAGUGAAGAUGCAUAUCUGUCAAGGUUGCCUGUUUCUAUUAUACAGUCCUGGUAUCAAAGAGAAGGUUAUAUUAAGGCAAUGGCCGACUUGAUCAGGAAAGAACUAGAGCAAUUUACUAAGCCUGAGGAGGUCAUGAUAUUCUUCAGUGCUCAUGGAGUGCCUGUGAGUUAUGUGGAGGACGCAGGAGAUCCAUACAAAGAUCAGAUGGAGGAGUGCAUUUACUUAAUCAUGCAAGAAUUAAAAGCUAGAGGAUUUGACAAUGAUCAUACUCUUGCCUAUCAGAGCCGAGUUGGGCCUGUUAAAUGGCUGAAGCCCUACACUGAUGAAGUUCUGGUUGAGCUUGGCCAGAAAGGUGUGAAAAGUCUCCUAGCUGUCCCUGUAAGCUUUGUGAGUGAGCACAUAGAGACCCUUGAAGAGAUUGACAUGGAAUACAAGCAUUUGGCUCUUGAAUCUGGCAUUGAAAAUUGGGGCCGCGUGCCUGCUCUAGGUUGCACCUCAACCUUCAUUACAGAUCUUGCAGAUGCAGUGAUAGAAGCCCUACCUUCAGCUAAAGCCAU